Molecule: ribosomal RNA, 330 nt
Filed under: uncultured bacterium
Lineage: Bacteria
Description: bacterial SSU rRNA
Rfam family: Bacterial small subunit ribosomal RNA
Source: RNAcentral
UGCGUAGGCGGUUUUCUAAGUCACGUGUGAAAUCUUACGGCUCAACCGUAAAACUGCGCGUGAUACUGGAUAACUUGAGUGAGGUAGGGGUGUGUGGAACUUCCGGUGGAGCGGUGAAAUGUGUAGAGAUCGGAAGGAACGCCAGCAGCGAAAGCGGCACACUGGGCCUUUUCUGACGCUGAGGCACGAAAGCUAGGGGAGUGAACGGGAUUAGAUACCCCGGUAAUCCUAGCCGUAAACACUGAACACUGGAGGACGGGGGUUUCGGCCUUCGUUCUCGUAGCGAAAGCGUUAAGUGUUCCGCCUGGGGAGUAUGGUCGCAAGGCUGAA